RNAcentral lists this ribosomal RNA (1343 nucleotides) under uncultured bacterium. Its description in RNAcentral is "16S ribosomal RNA". It matches the Rfam family "Bacterial small subunit ribosomal RNA", at positions 28 to 1378 of the family's 1533-position model. The record is from RNAcentral.
GACGAACGCUGGCGGCGUGCUUAACACAUGCAAGUCGAACGGAAAGGCCCUGCUUUUGUGGGGUGCUCGAGUGGCGAACGGGUGAGUAACACGUGAGUAACCUGCCCUUGACUUUGGGAUAACUUCAGGAAACUGGGGCUAAUACCGGAUAGGAGCUCCUGCCGCAUGGUGGGGGUUGGAAAGUUUCGGCGGUUGGGGAUGGACUCGCGGCUUAUCAGCUUGUUGGUGGGGUAGUGGCUUACCAAGGCUUUGACGGGUAGCCGGCCUGAGAGGGUGACCGGCCACAUUGGGACUGAGAUACGGCCCAGACUCCUACGGGAGGCAGCAGUGGGGAAUAUUGCACAAUGGGCGGAAGCCUGAUGCAGCAACGCCGCGUGCGGGAUGACGGCCUUCGGGUUGUAAACCGCUUUCGCCUGUGACGAAGCGUGAGUGACGGUAAUGGGUAAAGAAGCACCGGCUAACUACGUGCCAGCAGCCGCGGUGAUACGUAGGGUGCGAGCAUUGUCCGGAUUUAUUGGGCGUAAAGGGCUCGUAGGUGGUUGAUCGCGUCGGAAGUGUAAUCUUGGGGCUUAACCCUGAGCGUGCUUUCGAUACGGGUUGACUUGAGGAAGGUAGGGGAGAAUGGAAUUCCUGGUGGAGCGGUGGAAUGCGCAGAUAUCGGGAGGAACACCAGUGGCGAAGGCGGUUCUCUGGGCCUUUCCUGACGCUGAGGAGCGAAAGCGUGGGGAGCGAACAGGCUUAGAUACCCUGGUAGUCCACGCUGUAAACGGUGGGUACUAGGUGUGGGGUCCAUUCCACGGGUUCCGUGCCGUAGCUAACGCUUUAAGUACCCCGCCUGGGGAGUACGGCCGCAAGGCUAAAACUCAAAGGAAUUGACGGGGCCCCGCACAAGCGGCGGAGCAUGCGGAUUAAUUCGAUGCAACGCGUAGAACCUUACCUGGGUUUGACAUGGAUCGGGAGUGCUCAGAGAUGGGUGUGCCUCUUUUGGGGUCGGUUCACAGGUGGUGCAUGGCUGUCGUCAGCUCGUGUCGUGAGAUGUUGGGUUAAGUCCCGCAACGAGCGCAACCCUUGUUCACUGUUGCCAGCACGUUAUGGUGGGGACUCAGUGGAGACCGCCGGGGUCAACUCGGAGGAAGGUGGGGAUGACGUCAAGUCACCAUGCCCCUUAUGUCCAGGGCUUCACGCAUGCUACAAUGGCUGGUACAGAGAGUGGCGAGCCUGUGAGGGUGAGCGAAUCUCGGAAAGCCGGUCUCAGUUCGGAUUGGGGUCUGCAACUCGACCUCAUGAAGUCGGAGUCGCUAGUAAUCGCAGAUCAGCAACGCUGCGGUGAAUACGUUCCCGGG